AUUGAACGCUGGCGGCAUGCUUUACACAUGCAAGUCGAACGGCAGCGCGGGCUUCGGCCUGGCGGCGAGUGGCGAACGGGUGAGUAAUGCAUCGGAACGUGCCCAGUAGUGGGGGAUAGCCCGGCGAAAGCCGGAUUAAUACCGCAUACGACCUGAGGGUGAAAGCGGGGGACCGAAAGGCCUCGCGCUAUCGGAGCGGCCGAUGUCGGAUUAGCUAGUUGGUGGGGUAAAGGCUUACCAAGGCGACGAUCCGUAGCUGGUCUGAGAGGACGACCAGCCACACUGGGACUGAGACACGGCCCAGACUCCUACGGGAGGCAGCAGUGGGGAAUUUUGGACAAUGGGGGCAACCCUGAUCCAGCCAUGCCGCGUGCGGGAAGAAGGCCUUCGGGUUGUAAACCGUUUUUGUUCGGGAAGAAAUCCUCUGGGCUAAUACCCCGGGGGGAUGACGGUACCGGAAGAAUAAGCACCGGCUAACUACGUG
RNAcentral lists this ribosomal RNA (484 nucleotides) under uncultured bacterium. Its description in RNAcentral is "partial 16S ribosomal RNA". It matches the Rfam family "Bacterial small subunit ribosomal RNA", at positions 28 to 507 of the family's 1533-position model. The record is from RNAcentral.